UCCAAACACCGAACUUAAAAUUAUGUCCAAUGUUCAAUUAAAACAAAUGAAUAAUUCGAGUGAGUCCCACUAAAAAAAUAACAAAAAAAAGAAGUGUGUUGCAAUGAAACCUCGCCCAGCUCACCUCCGACCCUCGAUCAAUCUUGCCAGGCUUCUCCCCCAAUUUUAUUUCUUUUGGCCCGAUAUUUUUUUCUCCCGCCCGACUUCUUCUCUGAAACCUGUUCAUUCGUUUUCCCUCUUUCCUUUCCGAUCAAACCGCAAGAAACCUCAAAACCCGAGAACAAUACAGCAAUAAAUCAAGUCAAUUUUGCAAGGAUUUAAAUAUAAUUUUCUUGAGGUAAGGUGGGACGUGCGCUUCCGGACAAGGGUCUUCCAGAACUUGCAUGCCGAGUUUCUUUCAUGGACCAAUGACUAUAAAUGGAAGAGCUUUCGUCUGGGA
Phalaenopsis equestris is the source of this 439-nucleotide long non-coding RNA. RefSeq lists it as uncharacterized. The record is from RefSeq and is a predicted model, not a curated record. Lineage: Eukaryota; Viridiplantae; Streptophyta; Magnoliopsida; Asparagales; Orchidaceae. The transcript has 3 exons.